Molecule: ribosomal RNA, 237 nt
Filed under: Priestia megaterium
Lineage: Bacteria; Bacillati; Bacillota; Bacilli; Caryophanales; Bacillaceae
Description: Bacillus megaterium partial 16S ribosomal RNA
Rfam family: Bacterial small subunit ribosomal RNA
Source: RNAcentral
GCUGCAACUCGCCUACAUGAAGCUGGAAUCGCUAGUAAUCGCGGAUCAGCAUGCCGCGGUGAAUACGUUCCCGGGCCUUGUACACACCGCCCGUCACACCACGAGAGUUUGUAACACCCGAAGUCGGUGGAGUAACCGUAAGGAGCUAGCCGCCUAAGGUGGGACAGAUGAUUGGGGUGAAGUCGUAACAAGGUAGCCGUAUCGGAAGGUGCGGCUGGAUCACCUCCUUUCUAAGGA